This 497-nucleotide ribosomal RNA is filed under the name uncultured bacterium. Its description in RNAcentral is "partial 16S ribosomal RNA". It matches the Rfam family "Bacterial small subunit ribosomal RNA", at positions 28 to 507 of the family's 1533-position model. The record is from RNAcentral.
GAUGAACGCUGGCGGCGUGCCUAAUACAUGCAAGUCGAGCGAACAGACGAGUAGCUUGCUCCUCUGACGUUAGCGGCGGACGGGUGAGUAACACGUGGAUAACCUACCUAUAAGACUUGGAGAACUUCGGCAAACCGGAGCUAAUACCGGAUAAUAUAUUGAACCUGAUGGUUCAAUAGUGAAAGACGGAUUUGCUGUCACUUGGGGAUGGAUCCGCGCCGCAUUAGCUAGUUGGUAAGGUAACGGCUUACCAAGGCAACGAUGAGUAGCCGACCUGAGAGGGUGAUCGGCCACCAUGGAACUGAGACACGGUCCAGACUCCUACGGGAGGCAGCAGUAGGGAAUAUUACGCAAUGGGCGGAAGCUUGACGGAGCAACGACGCGUGAGUGAUGAAGGUCUUCGGAUCGUAAAACUCUGUUAUUAGGGAAGAACAAAUGUGUAAGUAACUAUGCACGUCUUGACGGUACCUAAUCAGAAAGCCACGGCUAACUACGUG